GGGCGCCGUCCGAGGGAGAUCUAUUAUAAACCCAAAACCCCAAAAGCGCCGUCUCUCUCUCUCUCUGCUCCCAUUCCAAUCCAUGGCGGCCACUGCGUGACACAGAUAGUCUACCUGCCCGAGCGACUCCGCGCGUACGAGUACGACCGCGUCUUCAAGAUGAUGCGGCAGACGCACCGCACGCGCAGGCCAAGGAUCUUGCAUUCGCGCGCGCUCGCAUCCUGCUGGAACUGCAGCGAAGAAGCCGUCGCGAGCGCAAGGACCGAAUCUAGGGCCAGAUCUGUGUGGAGAACUUAUUGGGGACAAAGAGCUGGAGCUUGCAGGCAAGGAGAGUCUUGUGGUACUCGACUUGCUUGUUCUUGUAGUGCGAUUCAGUUUCUUGUAGUGGUAGAACUGUGCCCUUUUUGGCUUGUAGAUGUAUUGCGGUACCAUUGAUUGUCCCAUCAUUUAGAUCUGUAUCGUUGGCUUAAAUCAAACUUUUUUUUAGAGCGAAGUGUCUAGUCAAGCGGUAUUUGUGUUGGAUUAAGCAUUGCCAAUAUCAGUUUUGGCAUUAAGUUCGUUGGUAUGGGUGGAGCAUGCUUCUCAUUCUAUAAUACAUGAUGCGCCUCAUAUCUUUUAGAUAAUGUGGGAUAGACUUGCUCUCCAGGGCAUUGUCUAGUCUUCUAUUACUUACUACCUCUGCCCCUCAAAGACUGUCAUUUUAACUUUGUUCUAAGUGAAGCAAUCUUAAGUUUGACUAAGUUUAUAUAAAAGAACUAGCAAUAUUUAUGAUAUCAAAUAAGCAGUAUCAGAUUCAUCAUAAAAUAUUUUUUUUUCAUACUAUAUCUAUAUAGUGUUAUAAAUGCUAAUAAUGUUCUCUAAAAAUUGGUCUAACAUAAGAUAAUUUGACUUAGGACAGCUAGAAUGUCACUCUUUGUUGAACGGGGGUAGUAAUUUUUGUUGGAAAAUUCUAGUAUGGCAGUGCUAACCCGCCCUUCUCUUUGAGGGUUUUAGUUACUAUAUUCGUUUUGGGAUCUUGUCAUAACAGAGUUUAGUUAUACAUUUCUCUCAUGUAUGAGAAUUUCUUCAUUCUGAUUUCCAUGAUCAGUGGCACCUACCCUUCCUGAGCCUACUUUUGCUUCUAUAAGAAUGAACAUGCUUCAUAUUUAUUUUGAUGUGGUAGCGUAACUUCAAGCUGCCUUAAGAUUCUAUGGAUGUAUAACUGAUCAAACUCUUUAUUUGGCAUUACAUUUUUUCUCGAAUGUGCAGGACAGCUGUGUAUCAUUAUACUGAGACUGAGAGGAAGAUAGGAGGAGUCUAAGAAGACUCAUACAAGCUCAGUAGAGCAUGCUUUUACAUAAGUGUCUAGCUGGGAAACAAGGAGCUUGGACCAGCAACCUAAAUGCCACACUACAGAUACACCACAAUUUUGCUUCAUACCUAAUUUCUUGCACAAGAGCAUUAACAUUAGAACUAACAGAGAAUGGCUGAGGAGGAUUCAAGAAAUUCUAUAUCCACUUUGGCUGCUGAAAACAAUGUACUAAAGGCUAAACUGGAAGAGGAUGAAAGUAAGGCAGAGUUUAGUGGAAACAGUGUGCAGAAGAUUUAGAGAAGAGCCAAGGAAACUAAAAGUAAGCUCUGCAACCUGAGUUCAUGGAAGGGUGGCGAAAUUUCAGGCAGGAAGAAGUUUUGUGUGGAACCAGUUUAACCCAAUGAACCAGGAGUAUGGGGUGAUCAUCAAAAUAAAAAAACAUACAAUCAAAAGCAGAAGAAAAACUGAAGGCCCUGUUUUAAGGAGAAAUCAAGAGAUUACUGGGUCACACCAGUUAAGAGACAAUUGAAGGCGUCAAGACUCAAGAACAUGUGCUUCAAGUACAAAAGAGAUACAAAAGCAAUCAAGAAAUAAUUUUCAUAUGCAAGAAAGAAGGCAAUCUGCAAGUAGUUAAAAGCUCAAACGUCUCUUCCUUGUCAUGUAUGUAUUCCAUUUACAGUUGCACAGUAAGCUCAUACUGCACCAUGUAAUCUAUGAUUACUUUUGAUUUAGCAACUGUGUAUAUAUUUUUUUGUUCAUAGUUAAUGGAUAAUGUUGGGUUUAUUAAAUAAACCUGAUUUUUUUACUAACGUGCAUAAACAAAUAGACUAAAUUGUUUUUACUGACCUAGAAUUUAUCAAAAAGACUAAGUCUGGGUAGGCUGUAUGCAUGGUCAAGUUCUUUUGUUAGAAAGGUGCUCCUCACUUGGGGCUUUGUGGUGUAUGUGUUUUGCAAGGUUUGGGGUAUUUCUCGGCCUGCGUGCAAGUUUGUUAAUGCAAUGCUGCAGGGCCAGUCUUUCCCCUGCAGUUUUUUUUUUGAUAUGUGAUUUUUGUGUGUUUGAGAUUUGAGAAAAAAAAUCAUGUUCUGCAAUUAUAGCUUGUAUGUUGUAAAUAUGCACAUCUUUGUGUUCUUAAUUUGCAAUCUCCUAAUUCUUGGUAGACUGCAUGAGUUGAGUUUUUCUUAAAUAUGGACAAAGAAUACUACUGAUGGUAUUUUGGUGAGUAUUCAGUCAUAAGUGUUCAUUAAGGGGCCACCACGUACUCACUCACAGUCCAGGAUAUUGGUAAGAACCUAGCAGGAUUUGUUUCUUCAUUCUUGACCAUCAUCUAUAACAACUUUAUAUCACUUCCAAACUCAUGCUACUGGUAUGGUAGAAAGAAAUAUGAUCUGCAAAGUAAAUAUUGUCUUUAUUCAUAUCGCAUUGCAAUUCAUUCAGAUUUAAAUAACAUUGUCCUUAUUCUUGGUAGGUCACAUCAGUUGUGUUCCUGCUGUAAAUAUGGACAGACAAUAGAGUUGAUGAAAUUUAGGUGAGCACUAUGUUAGUCAUAGGUGCUCACAAAGGACCAUCACACAUACAUGAUUCCCCAUGAAUUUCAAUUGCGCUACUAGAUGGAUAUGAUAGAACACGUGGGUGAGGGUUGUGUGAUUUAUCAUCCACAGUGGCUAGUUUGGUUGCUAAUGUAGAUACUGCAUAAAAAUGGCAAGCAGAUUGCCAUGGUUCUUGGUGCACUGCAUGAAAUACAUGUUGAUGUGCAUAUGGACAGAUAAGAGCAACUCCAAGAGCUUGGCUAUUCUUGUUGUGGAGGCUAUUUUAGAAUUUGCAUAGCAAAAAGUAGGCUCCAACAGAUGUGCUAUCUGGUUUUGUAAAAUAGAAAGUUGGCUAUCCCUUGAUUUUCGGUGGCCAUAUAUAGCCAACCACUAACACUGGCUAAUGGCUAUCUGAUUGUAAAAUAGCAAGGCUGUUGUGGACUUCUUCUUUUUUUAAGAAGUUUUCUAUUUUUGAAAAUAGCUAAACAAUGGAAUUUGGCUACUAAUUUUAGCCAAGCUCUUGGAGUUGCUCUAACAAACUGAUGGAAUCUAUAUGUAUUUUUACCCUAGUUUUGAUCUUUUGGUCCCAUCAAGUCAGAAUGAAGAAGCUUUUUUCAUGACUUGUUACAUAAAAAAACUAAACAUGAUCUUCUGAUUAAAAUGAUGUGAUGUUGUAGUGAGAUCUAUUACAGUGUCCUAAUUCUUAGUAGAUUUUGUCCUAAUUCUUGGUAGGCUGCAUGAGGCACCCUACUGUAAAUAUGGACAUACAGUAAAGUUGAUGGAAUUUAGGUGAGCAUUAUUUUGAGACAGAUGCUCAUAAAGGACCAUCAUACAUUCAAUUUAUAUACUAGAGCUUUAGAAGUAUGGAUGUGAUAGAAUAUGUGGGCUAUGUUUCAUCACUUAUGUGACUGAAUGGCUAUGGAUGUGGUAGAAUGUGGCCUAUGUUUUAUCACUAACUGUGACUGAAUGGCUAUGGAUGUGGUAGAAUAUGUGGACUAUGUUUUUAUCACUUACUGUGGUCGAAUGGCUAGUUUGGUA
Molecule: long non-coding RNA, 3856 nt
Organism: Sorghum bicolor (sorghum)
Lineage: Eukaryota; Viridiplantae; Streptophyta; Magnoliopsida; Poales; Poaceae
Exons: 4
Source: RefSeq, a predicted model, not a curated record